GUAACUGUUAAGCUAAUGGGGAGCAUAGGGCAUUCCUGACAUCCUGCAAAUCUUCAACAAGGACCAUGGAAGAAGAGUGCAGAAACAGACAGUGAGAAGACAUUACUUCCUAUGUUAACUGAGGACAAGAAUGAAGCCACUCUCACCAGUGGAGCAGGUGGGGGAGGUGACACAUCUACUGCUGGAGCUCAGCCCCCUGUGUUUGUUACAGCUGGCAGAGGUGAGACAUCCACCUCACCAUCCCACCCAGAGAAGGAGAAAGAAGGUGAUUCCUGAUCAUCCUCACCAGCCCUGCAGCUGCCCCAUGGCCUCAAAAAGCCUUUCCCUCUCCCCACCCUUAAAAUGCAACCACUGCCCCAUUCCUCCCUCUCCCUGAGAGGAGAACUGUCAGUUGUGGUCUCUGAGGGAGAGGCGCUGCCCCAGCCAGCCUGGAAUAAAGCUACAGAGUGGAGAAUCAAGGCCCAGAUCCAGGCAGAUACUUUGUGGUAACCUAAGAUCCCAUGAACAUCUGGGGAGAUUUUUCAAAGGGUAGGGACAGGGGCUGUUGCUCCAUCCUGACCCGCUGGGGAGCUGCAUUCACACACGCAGGUGGGCCAAACCAGCCCAAACAGGGUGGAAAUAGCCACACCACUGCUCCCAGUGCUGGCUGUGCAGCAGAUGGGACACAGCACAUGGAAUGCCACGUGCCAAGAGCCCCAAGCCUGGAGCAGGCAGCAGCUCCAUGGAGAGCUGAGGGACCACAAGACCAGGCGCUGACUCAGUCCACGGCAAGGAGGCAUCUCCCAGAGCGGGAUGAGAUGGGAGCAGUAGCCUCGUCAAAACAGUGAAGUAGCAGGAAUCUCCUUGGAGAGCAACGGAUCACAGCACUUGUCAAGAUGAUUUCCAAAUCAAAGAUGACUUCCAAGGAGCAGCAAGGGUAUAAUUUUGGAGCCAAUCAAGCCAAUGGCAAAAAUCCCGAUUUCUGCACAAUAUUUUUAAUGGAGCCUCUGGAAUUUUGGAGCUUUGCAUAUUAUAUACUAUAUUAUAUAUUCUGUUGCGGCUAAAAGGUCCAGUCCAAAUUCAGCAUCUGUGGGCCUUACAGAGGAAUGACCCUAAAAAGGAGUGAUGAAAAAGGUCAGCCUAGUUUGAAAACAAAUACCAUGUUUAUAAUGAGACCAAAGGGAGAAUGAAGAAUUCAGUACUUAAUACUGACACCUGCCACUUGCAAAAUAUCUCCACCACUAGAAACAAAUAUCUGGGAGAGUUUGGAAAAUUUUGGUCACUCAUUUGUUCCUCCUUUGUUUCCAUUUCAGUCACUGGUCCAUCUGCCCAAUGACAGCACUGACAUUGCUAAAUGUCAUGAAGU
This 1345-nucleotide long non-coding RNA is filed under the name Corvus moneduloides (New Caledonian crow). RNAcentral describes it as "lncRNA (ENSCMUG00000018692.1)". The record is from RNAcentral. Lineage: Eukaryota; Metazoa; Chordata; Aves; Passeriformes; Corvidae.